AGGCAGUUUUGAGUGUUUUUGUGUUAUUUUGAGUCUUUUGGUUUGUUUUGGUGUUUUAAGUUAUAAUUUUACAUUCUUUGAGUCUAGUUUAGUGUUUUAAACUUUGUUUUUACGUUUUUGAGUCAGUUUUCAAGUGAUUUAGCAAUCCCUCCUAAUCCCCGGCCUAGAACGAUCCCUACUUACAUACUUACUACAAUUGAUAAAAAGAGGGUUAAUUUGAGUGCUAGUUAAUAUCACAUCAAAUUUUGGCGCCGUUGCCGGGGAUUAGCAACUUUGCUAAUCCCUUGGUUCUUUUCUUUUUGUUUAGUUUGUUUCUGUUUUAGUUUCUGACUUAAUUUUGUUUUCCUUGUUUUGUGUUACUUUUGAUAUUUGAUUUAGUUCUCUUUCUUUGAUUUUAGGUACUAGAGAAGUAAGACAUGGAUUUUGUUAGCAUUCAAGCUCAAUUAGCAAAUCUUACUUCUCAAUUGUCACAGAUUGCCGAAAGGACCACAAUGCAAAGUGUCCCUACAUUUGGUGCGUCUUAUAGGCAAGGAUACCAAGCCAAUCUAUAUCCACAAAGCGAUUGGAGUGAUCAUUCAAACUCUAUGUGGUGGGAAGCUCAACAAGUUCAACACAAAGCAUAUUGGCAGCCAUAUGAAGAGUUCUAUUCAAGACCUAUGCAGCCACCACAACCUCAUAUACAAUAUGCUCAAUCAAAUUUAGGUUCGUCAAUAGAUUAUAAUCAAAUUCUUAAUGAAUUAAAUUCUUUGUUGCAGGGCUCACAAAAUCAAGCCAAGGAGGCUCAACAAGGUGGAUAUUGGCAGCAAGAAGAGGAGUUCUAUCAUUGGCCAUAUGAACUAUCACAUCCAUCACAACAAUUUGCCCAAUUCAAUUCAGGUACGUCUUUGGAUAAUGAUAUGUUUAAUAAGUUACUCACCUCUUUGUACCAGGAAGUAGAAAAUCGAAACAAAGAGAUGCCAAUUCAAACCAAGAAGACGGGUGAAUUGGAGAAGCAUAUUGGGCAGAUUAUGGAGUUCAUGGCACAAAUUCAAGAGCAAAGUGAAGUCUCCAACUCAACUAUUGAAAAUUCGAAGGAAGAUUUUGAAAUCCAUGAUGCUAUCACUUUGGGAAGUGCUAUGGAGGUUGGAGCUGACCUAAAAAUGUCCAAACAUUGCCUAGAAGUGGAUGAGGAGCUGCUGAUUGAGGAGGAGGAAGAAGACAUACACACGGCAAGGGUAGAACAACCCUUGCCGCAACCCCCUAAGCCUUCUAACCCACCCACCACAAGUAAGGACGUCCCAAUUUCAUUUCAUUCUAAUGUUAUUCCUCCCAAUGUCCCUUUUCCUAGCAGGUUUUUGAUUCCCAAGCAAGAAGAGAGUGAAAAAGACAUUGUGGAAGCUCUUCCAAAGGUGCAAAAGGAUAUUCCAAUUCUUGGUGCAACAAAGCAAGUUCUAGAUCGUGUUGAAUAUUUCAAAGGCCUUUGUUUCCCAAGAAGAAUGAUUCAAGAGAAAGUAGUGGCUAAAGAAUGUCAAGACUUCAUCAAAGAGGACAAAUUUGAAACAACAAAGCCCAAAGAAGUUGAAUUUGAUGACAUUGGACAAGUCACAACCAUCAUAGUAAAUCUGGCCAAGUCCAAUAUCCCUAAAACUUUCAAAGGAGUGGUGUUUGUCAUUGAGUUCUUGUCGGACAAAGCAAGUAAAUCAUCUUCUCCAAUUUCCAUUACAUUUUAUACUAACUUGCUGAUUUUGAUGAAUCAGGUACCUACACUAGAAUCUAAACCAAUGCCGGUUCAUUUCAAGUAUCAUCGUCCAUUCAAAGAUCAAAUCCAUGCCGUGGGACCUAGGGGAGCUUAAAGAGAAGCAUUCAAAUAAGGAAGAUUGAGGACAAUGCCGUGGGACCUAGGAAUUGCUCUAACAACCAGAUUUGAGUUUCUAAAACCCUUCACUUUGUUGCUUGUUUCUAAUCUGCCAGUUUUGUUUUUAACUUGCUGUUUGUGUGUUUCUUUGUGUUUUGUGUGAGUUUAUGCUUGAAACAUUGAGGACAAUGUUUGAUUUAAGUGUGGGGGGGUAAAUAAGUGUUUUUGAUGCAAAUUCGUGGGAUUUUAUCACCCUUUACUUAUAGACUUGUUCCUUGCUGUUUUUAAGUGUUUUUAAGCUGUUUUGGUGUGUUUUAGGGUGUUUUGAAGUAAAAAUCCGAAAAUCACAUAAAAAUUUGAAAAAUUUGUUUUAAAAACCCAAAAAGAGUUGUUUUUGUGUGUUUGUUUGUGUCUUAGGGUACCUUCCAACACAAUGAUGAGGAUUUGGUUUUUAAUUGCAUGACUGUUAAAGAGAGUGAUUAACAUGGAUGAAAGUUUGAUUUACUCUUUGUUUAUGCUUGGUUGUGGUUAUAACUUAUGAAUUCACAUGCAAUCAUAAAGGAAAAAUCAGUUUUUGUAACAUGCUUGAAGAAAGGAACUCGAAUUAACGCUACAACCUUGUGAGACUUGAGCCUAAACGUUUAUUUGGAGAGUUAAAAUCUGUGCAUUCUUUGUUUUCUAAGUCGUUGCAUGAUCUCAUUAUUCCUUGCUUGGUUACUACUUAGAAGGCGUUUCAUCAUUUAGUUCCAAAUGCUAGAACUCAUGCCCAUUUCAUUCAAAGCAUGUCAUUGAAUUGCAUAACACAUAUUCAAGAUGAAGUUGUGUAGUGACCACCACCUUAGCCAAAUGCCGUGUGCCCUAUGUCAUUAUGUUUUGUAGGUUUUUAACCCCGUUGAGCCUUGUUUAGCCUAUUCUUUGUUAACCCAUGUUUUCCUCACCUAGCCUAGAUUAGGACCAUCCAUACCUUUGUUCUUAAAGCAUAGUAAAGCAUGAUUCAAAUUGAAUUCCUUUUAAUUUAUGUUGGCAGAAAACAAGUGUGGGGGAAGUAUUUCUUUUGGUGAUUUUGUGUGUCAUAGGCACGUGUGGAAGAAAAGAAAAGAAAAAUUGAAGAAAAAAAUAUUAAAAGUUUGAAAAAAAGAGUUGAAAAGUUGAGAAAAAGAGUUCCAAAGUAUUGUUUGUUGAAGUAAGGGUCCAAAACAAUGAAUUCGGCCCUAAGGAGUUGUUUAAGUCUUCCCCUUGUGUUUUAAAGUUAAUUUCUGCAAUCUAAGUGAAUUCUAAGUCUCAAUUUCAGUGCUUUGCUUACUAUUGCUUGAAGAACGGUUGUUUUCCCUAUCCUUUCCUUGUUAACCAACACCCCAAGCCCCAUUACAACCCUUAACUUCUAUCUUGAGUGUUAUGUGU
RNAcentral lists this long non-coding RNA (3235 nucleotides) under Malus domestica (apple). Its description in RNAcentral is "long non-coding RNA (MDOM_LNC018930)". The record is from RNAcentral. Lineage: Eukaryota; Viridiplantae; Streptophyta; Magnoliopsida; Rosales; Rosaceae.